This 791-nucleotide long non-coding RNA is filed under the name Coturnix japonica (Japanese quail). RNAcentral describes it as "lncRNA (ENSCJPG00005009023.1)". Lineage: Eukaryota; Metazoa; Chordata; Aves; Galliformes; Phasianidae. The record is from RNAcentral.
UUGAGUCACUGUAACUGGAGUACACUGAGAUCUUCAGUCUCCUAAGAAGGAGAGAUAUGAGACUUUUCCCUCUGAGUUAGUGCCCUCAGCCUUCCAAACCUGGACUACAAAGUGGUAUGUCUGCGGUCCCCAGCAUCCCAGGAAACCCAUUCAUCACCUUGCAAGGCUUCAAGGUGUUAAAUAACUACAGGCGUGGUGCCAGGAUGGACAGAAGGUUUGUUAACUCAUAAGGACAUCUGGAGCUGCAGACAUGUAACUCAUGCCACAGGUUUAGCAUGGUCCCAGCACAUAAUUUUAUGCUGAUUUGCAAGAGCACAUGGUGGAAUGAGCUGCACAUAACCCUGUAUGUUCCUUGGGUGUCCCUGCACUGGUCUGAUGAAAGAUCAACUGGGCUUUGCUGGGCAUAUACAGAGGACCACAAGUUGUUUUGUCAAAGCAGAUGUUGUCUCCUACACUUGAUCAACCACUUAAUGACUGACUCAGGAAGAGAUUAUCCCUCGAUUGCUGCAUCUUCAGGGACUGACGCCCAUGUGGCCUACAUCUCUGACUGUACCAUGGAGCCUGCUUUUCCAGCAACCAGCCCUGUGAAACUAACGCAGCACAAGAUUAUCGAGCUGAGCAAGUGAGGAAGGAAUCAGAGCACUGGACCCUCCAUUUACCACCACCACAAACGUGAUAAAACUCUUGUCUCUAUAGAAACUGGAGCCACUGUGGCUUCUGACUGCCAUGUCAUUUUCUGAGAGGUAAUCUCAACCCAAAUAAAACCCUUGAUGGCAUGCCUGUGCUUUUCA